This is a long non-coding RNA of Silurus meridionalis, 1444 nucleotides long. RefSeq lists it as uncharacterized. Lineage: Eukaryota; Metazoa; Chordata; Actinopteri; Siluriformes; Siluridae. The transcript has 5 exons. The record is from RefSeq and is a predicted model, not a curated record.
AGAAAUGCUGCACACACUCACACAUACUGUCAGACAAUUUACAGCUCCGUCAGCAGGAAACAUGUUGGCCGUAAUCCUUUUUGCCGGAGCGGUUAUUUUUACAGAUCAAACAAUUGCUCAAAGCACAGCGUCUGCAGAUCUCAUCAAUUCAACAGCACCAACAACAACUUUACCACUAACAACAGCUACAGCAGAAUCAUCUCUGCUAACAAAUGAAUCAGAAACAACUCUAUCAGCAAUAACUCCAUUAACAACUUCAACAGACACAACUCCACAACUUACAACCACUCUAUUAACAACUCCAACAGAAACAUCUCAACCUCUAACAGCUCUACCACCAACUCCACAAACAUCUCUAAUAACAACUUCAACAGAAAUAACUUCAACAGAAACAACUCUACCAAUGUCAGCAACUCUUCUGCCAACUUCACCUACUAUUCCAUUAACAACUUCAACAGAAUCAACUUCAACAACAACAACAACACCUACAUCAACUGAAACAUCAACAACUCCACCCUCAUCAACUGAAACGUCAGCAACUCCACAUACACCAACUACAUCCUCAUCAAUUGAAACAUCAACAACUACACCCUCAUCAGCUGAAACAUCAACAACUCCACCUACACCAAUGGAAAUAUCAACAACUUCACCCUCAACAACUGAAACAUCAACAACUUCACCCUCAUCAACUGAAACAUCAACAACUUCACCCUCAUCAACUGAAAUGUCAACAACUACAUCCACAUCAACUGAAACAUCAACAACUACAUCCUCAUCAACUGAAACAUCAACAACUACAUCCUCAUCAACUGAACGUCAACAACUCCACCUACACUAACUGAAACAUCAACAACUACAUCCUCAUUAACUGAAACAUCAACAACUACACCUCAUCAACUCAAACAUCAACGACUCCACCUACACCAAUAGAAAUAUCAACAACUCCACCCUCAACAACUGAAACAUCAACAACUUCACCCUCAUCAACAGAAACGUCAACACUUACAUCCUCAUCAACUGAAACAUCAACUACACCCUCAUCAACUGAAACGUCAACAACUACAUCCUCAUCAACUCAAACAACAACAACUACAUCCUCAUCAACUGAAACAUCAAGAACCACUGCAGCCCCAACCAACAGAACCAAAACCAGUACACCUUCUACCACAAUAAACACUUCAAACCAAACUUCUAACCCGAACCCCGUAAUAAUCGGCAUGCGAGUUUCGGUCAGAUCUUCUGUCAAGCUGGAUAUGAACCAAGCCAAAGCCAUUGUCCAGCAGUAUUUAGCCCAGCUAAACCUCACAUCACCCUCAACAACUGAAACAUCAACAACUACAUCCUCAUCAACUGAAACGUCAACAACUACAUCCUCAUCAACUGAAAAGUCAACAACUACACCCUCAUCAACUGAAGCGUCAACAACUACAUCCUCAUCAACUGA